GGUCUAGGUACCAUUGGUAGGUAUCUGCGAGUCCCAGUCUCUGUAAGCGUGAUUCCAGGAAGGGCAGUCGCUCCUCUCUCAAGCUGCCUCCACACAACUCCCCUAUUCCUGGUACUAGAAGAUCAACAGCUGCAACUGUUCGUUGAGGUCCAUCUUCAUUGUCCCGCAUGUAGAAAGGUUUGAGGUCAUAGGGGUAGUUAAU
This 202-nucleotide long non-coding RNA is filed under the name Gallus gallus (chicken). Lineage: Eukaryota; Metazoa; Chordata; Aves; Galliformes; Phasianidae. The record is from RNAcentral.